UGGGGAAUAUUGCACAAUGGGCGCAAGCCUGAUGCAGCGACGCCGCGUGAGGGAUGACGGCCUUCGGGUUGUAAACCUCUUUCGGCAGGGACGAAGCGCAAGUGACGGUACCUGCAGAAGAAGCACCGGCCAACUACGUGCCAGCAGCCGCGGUAAUACGUAGGGUGCGAGCGUUGUCCGGAAUUACUGGGCGUAAAGAGCUCGUAGGCGGUUUGUCGCGUCGUCUGUGAAAUUCUGCAACUCAAUUGCAGGCGUGCAGGCGAUACGGGCAGACUUGAGUACUACAGGGGAGACUGGAAUUCCUGGUGUAGCGGUGAAAUGCGCAGAUAUCAGGAGGAACACCGGUGGCGAAGGCGGGUCUCUGGGUAGUAACUGACGCUGAGGAGCGAAAGCGUGGGGAGCGAACA
This 407-nucleotide ribosomal RNA is filed under the name uncultured bacterium. RNAcentral describes it as "bacterial SSU rRNA". It matches the Rfam family "Bacterial small subunit ribosomal RNA", at positions 355 to 774 of the family's 1533-position model. The record is from RNAcentral.